Non-coding RNA from Pelobates cultripes (western spadefoot toad), 262 nucleotides. The record is from the annotation of a GenBank genome assembly. Lineage: Eukaryota; Metazoa; Chordata; Amphibia; Anura; Pelobatidae.
GCAGUACUUAGCCAAGUCGGAGCAGAUGGCGGCGAGCACCCCGUAGCUUACCUAAGCAGAAAACUUUUACCCAGGGAAGUAAGCUACGCCGCCAUUGAAAGGGAGUGCCUGGCUGUGGUGUGGGCCCUCAAAAAAUUGCAGCCCUAUUUAUACGGACAACCAUUUACAUUACUCACGGAUCACAACCCGUUGGUGUGGCUGAACAUGGUGUCAGGAGACAAUGCCAGGCUGCUGCGCUGGAGUUUGGUGCUGCAGCCUUUUG